This is a long non-coding RNA of Apteryx rowi (Okarito brown kiwi), 2329 nucleotides long. The record is from Ensembl. Lineage: Eukaryota; Metazoa; Chordata; Aves; Apterygiformes; Apterygidae.
GACUUUUUAGCUAUUACAAAGUAUAUCGAGGUAGAAUUUUGUAUGCAAAGUCAGCAUCGUAGAUUGGCCAACAGAAUUUCAGUUAAUUUUGGUUUUGUUGUAUUUAAUUUUCACAUUGUUUUAUUACUGUUUUCACAAUCAAAAUGGAGGAGGUUUUGCCAGAAAAAAACCCAAACCCCCAAACUACCUGGCAUAUAGAACGUGUGUUGUUAGCAAUUCUGUCAAGCGGUGGGGCAAUACGAGAAACCUUGAAGGCUAAAACAGACUGCUGCAUUCUUAGCAGCAAAGUUACGGAAAAUGGAAGCUGUUGCAACAGCACGAAGAUACCAAGAUAACGAAAGAUGGAUCAUGAGUGUUCCUCUAGCAACAAGGAAGUCCUUAAGAAUAAUACCUGUCAUGAACUCGGAGAACAGCACAGUGCAAAGGAAGGUGUCCUGGCCUGUUAGCAAGCUGAUAGGCUUGGUCCUGUUUCUCUUCAAGCUCAUAGGGGUAUUGGGCAGGACUGUUCCAUAUAAAAUACUUUUGUGUUUCAUUAGCCUCGUGUUAAGUGGACCAAACUGUGGAGCUCCCACCAUUUCCCUUAGAAGACAAUAUUUGUCUAAUAUUUGUCAGAAAAAUCUCCUUUUAGUUCUCCCCUUAGUUCAGCCGAAGUAUUCCUCUAAAGUAUAUCUUCCCAUCGUUUCUAGCUAAUUAUAAUUAGCUUUUAUUUUACUUGGCCUUAUGCAUAAAUAUUUUAAAUACCAGAAACUGCUGUGAGACACAAGGAUGCUGUUCAAACAUAUGUGUAAGAUGAGACAAAUCUGCUGCUUCAAAAUGGCUCAGGUCAUGUCAUUUAGAAAUCUGGUAAUGUCUUCCCUCGCCAUAGUAGGUCUGUGACCCUCGAUAUUACCCUUUUGAUUUCAGUGAUUUGGACUGAUUUCAGUGAAGGAAAGCAAGACUGAACCCAAGUUUUUUAAGCAAUGAUAAUAUAAAUACUAUUUUGAACUGAAUUUUAAUGUGAAGUAGCAGGUAAUCCAAUUAACCGAGUAGUUAAAAAGUAAUAGGUGUGUUUAAUAUUUAAAUGCUCAGAUGUGUUUGGGGUUUUUGUUUGUUUGUUUGUUUGUUUGUUUACAAACUGGAAGCCUCCUCUUGUCCACUUAAAAAGAGCUUUGCAAACAAGGUACUGCAAAUAUACCCAGCUACAUCGAAUACCUGUGGUUGCAGGCGCUUUAGCAUGAUGAUUUCUUUGUCUCUGGGAAAGUAUUUGCAUGAUAAGGACAUUACUUAUUUAUAUCAGGAAUUGAAACUGUUCCUCAUGAGAUUUCUGGCUGUAUCCCUGGGCUGAUAUUAGUGCAGAACUUCCAAAACCCAUAAAGUGCUUUCAGAUCAUGGAUAUAUCAUCUUGAUUGUGGCUUGGUAUGGAGUGAAGUAUUGUAACUAUGGAUUUUAGCAUAUCUGUGCUCUAGAAACAGUUUUGCCAUUGUCCUCGGGCAGGGAAGAAAAUGACUCUGCAGAAGUAUUCACAAGAACCAAAAUGCGUACUGUGAAAAAUAAUAAUUUUAACAGUAAAUUAAAUAAGUUUCAUCCCUGUUAUCUUUCCAUGAAUGUGCAGGAUGAAGCAAGCAUGCCUUUCCAUGUUUUCUCUUGGGGCCUGUCCAAUAGCUUGGACUGCUAGGCCUCACGCACGUGGCUGUUCGUUACACGUUACCCGUCUCUUUGCACUUACAGACGAAAAGUCCGGGAGUUCAUUCAGUUCUUCCCUUAUUCCUGCUUUUGUCACCACAGUCAUGAUGGUUUAGCUUCCCUGAAUCUGUCUGUCUGCUUCUCAGAUCUGUUUGUACUACCCAUUGCCUCUGAAGAUGAGGUUUAGCUGACUAAACGUAAAUGUCUGUAUUUAAACUAGUCACCUUAGCUUGCUUUUGCAGUCAGUGGAAAGGAACAGGCACCUAGGGGAUGGUUUGCUGUGAUCAGUUUUAGAAAUCUAUGUUAGGACACAAUUAGUCUGCGGUAGAAGUGCUAAUUUUUUGACUGAUCUUACAGGAGUCUAGAUGAGUGUAGACACCUGCAUUUAGCCAAAAGAAAUUUACAGUGAAUGUCUUUGAUCUGUAAUUUACCUUGCAAGUUAUUUUAUUUCUCUUCUGCAUGCAUGUGUAAAUCUACAUGCUAUGUAAGACACUGACCUGAGACAGUGAUGCUGCCUUUUUUAAUAGCUGAACAUUUUCACAUAAAAAUUAUGCAUUUCCGAAAGCAUUGCAGGUUUCCAUGGGAUCUACUGGAACAGCAGAGAGAGCCUGGAAGGUUUUUUUUUUCUUCCUAGUUUUCCUUAAUAAAUAUAAAUGCAUUUUAAUCA